Molecule: ribosomal RNA, 408 nt
Filed under: uncultured prokaryote
Description: bacterial SSU rRNA
Rfam family: Bacterial small subunit ribosomal RNA
Source: RNAcentral
UGGGGAAUAUUGGGCAAUGGGGGAAACCCUGACCCAGCAACGCCGCGUGAGGGAAGAAGGUUUUCGGAUUGUAAACCUCUGUCCUUGGUGAAGAAAGAGAUGACGGUAGCCAAGGAGGAAGCCCCGGCUAACUACGUGCCAGCAGCCGCGGUAAUACGGAGGGGGCGAGCGUUGUCCGAAUUUAUUGGGCGUAAAGCGCGUGUAGGCGGAUCGUCAAGCCUGGGGUGAAAGGUCGGGGCUCAACCCCGCACAGUGCCCUGGGGACUGGCGGUCUGGAGGCAGGCAGAGGAGCGUAGAAUUCCUGGUGUAGCGGUGGAAUGCGUAGAGAUCAGGAAGAAUACCCGUGGCGAAGGCGGCGCUCUGGGCCUGUACUGACGCUGAGACGCGAAAGCGUGGGGAGCGAACGGG